This 287-nucleotide ribosomal RNA is filed under the name uncultured bacterium. RNAcentral's name for it is "partial 16S ribosomal RNA". It matches the Rfam family "Bacterial small subunit ribosomal RNA", at positions 28 to 314 of the family's 1533-position model. The record is from RNAcentral.
GACGAACGCUGGCGGCGUGCUUAACACAUGCAAGUCGAGCGGUAAGGGCCCUUUCGGGGGUACACGAGCGGCGAACGGGUGAGUAACACGUGGGUGACCUGCCCUCAGCUCUGGGAUAAAGCCUGGGAAACUGGGUCUAAUACUGGAUAUGACUCCACGGUGCAGUGUCGUGGGGUGGAAAGCCUUGUGCGGCUGAGGAUGGGCCCGCGGCCUAUCAGCUUGUUGGNGGGUGAUGGCCUACCAAGGCGACGACGGGUAGCCGGCCUGAGAGGGCGACCGGCCACACU